GGGCAGUUAGCUCAGUGGGAGAGCGCCACCUUGACACGGUGGAGGUCGGAGGUUCGAUCCCUCUACUGCCCACCA
Molecule: transfer RNA, 75 nt
Filed under: Bacillus thermozeamaize
Lineage: Bacteria; Bacillati; Bacillota; Bacilli; Caryophanales; Bacillaceae
Description: tRNA-Val
Rfam family: tRNA
About the family: Transfer RNA (tRNA) molecules are approximately 80 nucleotides in length.
Source: RNAcentral